Molecule: ribosomal RNA, 373 nt
Filed under: uncultured eukaryote
Lineage: Eukaryota
Description: partial 18S ribosomal RNA
Rfam family: Eukaryotic small subunit ribosomal RNA
Source: RNAcentral
CAAUAGCGUAUAUUAAAGUUGUUGCAGUUAAAAAGCUCGUAGUUGAAUUUUUGCUUGCCGCCGAUGUCGGAACUUCCGUACGUUCGGCGGCGUGCAUCCUUGGGUGGAACCUGUGUGGCAUUAGGUUGUCGUGCAGGGGAUGCUCAUCGUUUACUGUGAAAAAAUUAGAGUGUUCAAAGCAGGCUUACGCCGUUGAAUAUACUAGCAUGGAAUAAUAAGAUAGGACCUUGGUACUAUUUUGUUGGUUUGCGCACCGAGGUAAUGAUUAACAGGGACAGUUGGGGGUAUUCGUAUUCCAUUGUCAGAGGUGAAAUUCUUGGAUUUCUGGAAGACGAACUACUGCGAAAGCAUUUACCAAGGAUGUUUNCAUUAA